UUUUAUGGAGAGUUUGAUCCUGGCUCAGGACGAACGCUGGCUGCGUGCUUAACACAUGCAAGUCGAACGCUGAAGCCGACAGCUUGCUGUUGGUGGAUGAGUGGCGAACGGGUGAGUAACACGUG
The sequence is a ribosomal RNA, 125 nucleotides long. It matches the Rfam family "Bacterial small subunit ribosomal RNA", at positions 1 to 119 of the family's 1533-position model.